This is a long non-coding RNA of Gekko japonicus, 477 nucleotides long. RefSeq lists it as uncharacterized. The transcript has 3 exons. The record is from RefSeq and is a predicted model, not a curated record. NCBI's taxonomy places the organism in Eukaryota, Metazoa, Chordata, Lepidosauria, Squamata, Gekkonidae.
GACAGGGUCAGGAUAUUAGUCUUGCACCACAUUUAUGGAUUACUUAAGAAAAGAAUAUGAAAGGAAAACGGUUUUCUUCGAGCCUCAUGCAUGCAUAAGUGAAGCAGGAAAGGAGAUUUUUUGACAUAGUCCACGUUGAUCAGAGUCUUCCAAUCUAUAAGAAUUUAAGUAAACAAAAUUGCCUAUUACCUUGGGGAAUUAUUACUUUCAAACAAGAAUGCAUAUUCCCUGCACUACAACAGUACAGAUGCAGAUUUGUUUGGAUAUGUACCUGUGUUCUAAUCCACAUAAUAAAGCCCAUCCAUGCCUUACUGAACUGAUUGAGUGCAUCUUUUGAUGCCAGUGGAGAUGUUCAUCUGACUGUGCAUUCCCAAGCUCAGAAGCAUUGGUGAUAGGACUGUUAUCAAAACACACCAUUACAGCCUUUCUUGCCCUUGACCUUCAGAAGAUCAGAUGAAGGAUAUCAAGCCAGUGCUU